This 251-nucleotide ribosomal RNA is filed under the name uncultured bacterium. RNAcentral describes it as "partial 16S ribosomal RNA". It matches the Rfam family "Bacterial small subunit ribosomal RNA", at positions 524 to 776 of the family's 1533-position model. The record is from RNAcentral.
UACGUAGGGGGCGAGCGUUAUCCGGAUUCAUUGGGCGUAAAGCGCGCGUAGGCGGCCGCCUAAGCGGAACCUCUAACCCCGGGGCUCAACCUCGGGCCGGGUCCGGACUGGGCGGCUCGAGUGCGGUAGAGGAGAGCGGAAUUCCCGGUGUAGCGGUGGAAUGCGCAGAUAUCGGGAAGAACACCGAUGGCGAAGGCAGCUCUCUGGGCCGUCACUGACGCUGAGGCGCGAAAGCUGGGGGAGCGAACAGG